UGGGGAAUUUUGGACAAUGGGCGAAAGCCUGAUCCAGCAAUGCCGCGUGUGUGAAGAAGGCCUUCGGGUUGUAAAGCACUUUUGUCCGGAAAGAAAUGGCUCUGGUUAAUACCUGGGGUCGAUGACGGUACCGGAAGAAUAAGGACCGGCUAACUACGUGCCAGCAGCCGCGGUAAUACGUAGGGUCCAAGCGUUAAUCGGAAUUACUGGGCGUAAAGCGUGCGCAGGCGGUUGUGCAAGACCGAUGUGAAAUCCCGAGCUAACUGGGAAUUGCAUUGGUGACUGCACGGCUAGAGUGUGUCAGAGGGGGGUAGAAUUCCACGUGUAGCAGUGAAAUGCGUAGAGAUGUGGAGGAAUACCGAUGGCGAAGGCAGCCCCUGGGAUAACACUGACGCUCAUGCACGAAAGCGUGGGGAGCAAACAGGAUUAGAUACCCUGGUAGUCCACGCCCUAAACGAUGUCAACUAGUUGUUGGGGAUUCAUUUCCUUAGUAACGUAGCUAACGCGUGAAGUUGACCGCCUGGGGAGUACGGUCGCAAGAUUAAAAGCUCAAAUG
RNAcentral lists this ribosomal RNA (556 nucleotides) under uncultured bacterium. RNAcentral's name for it is "partial 16S ribosomal RNA". It matches the Rfam family "Bacterial small subunit ribosomal RNA", at positions 355 to 907 of the family's 1533-position model. The record is from RNAcentral.